This is a long non-coding RNA of Diabrotica virgifera virgifera (western corn rootworm), 1485 nucleotides long. RefSeq lists it as uncharacterized. The transcript is spliced from 2 exons. The record is from RefSeq and is a predicted model, not a curated record. NCBI's taxonomy places the organism in Eukaryota, Metazoa, Arthropoda, Insecta, Coleoptera, Chrysomelidae.
UCCUAACUGAACAAAACAAAGUCGGGAACAAUGGAUUAAUGGAUAUGUAAAAGCCAUAAGGAGAACAGAACUAAAAAUAAAAUAUGAAAGAAUAUGCAAUAAACAUUAUAUAAAAGUGGAAAGCCAGCCACUUUAAAAAGAUAUUCCAAACUAAAACAUGGGUUACCAAAGCAGGCAAUAAAAAGAAAAGGUGAUCUAGAAUGCAAGAGAAGAGCUGAUGAAAGAAGGAAAUGUAAAGAAAAUAAUGAAGAGACUUCUCUCGACCAUGUAAGUAUAAGAUAUUAAGAUAUAGUUUAUUACAAUAUGGUUAGAUGCAAAGCUCACCAUGUUUUAAUGCAUAUAGCCUAAACUGUCCUUCAAUCUUUUUCUAAUGGUGCUACAACCCUUUGUGAGUCUUGGUGUGCUUAACAACAUUCUGCCCUGCCAGAUACUUUUCUGAUGUUCAUGGUUUUAAGAUCCCCCUCUAUAUCGUCUAUCCAUCUUUUAUGGGCCCUUCCAUCUCUGGAUUACUUGUACAGCUCGAUUAUCUGGCAUUUUUCUGAGUGAUCAAGCCAAUUUAGUCUUUGAGAUUUUACAAUUCUAACAAUAUCUGCGCUCUGCAUUAGUAUUAUCCAGCUCGUGGUUCAUUUUAAUUCUCCACAAACCAUCACUGCAAUGUGUAGAUUUGUUUUGUAGAUUCUAAGGUUAGACUUAGUAACUUACUUUUCGUCAAGUCUUUGUAUGCAUAAAAUCACUUAUUGCUGCUAAGAAUCCAUGCUUUUCUUGACUGGCGUUGUUGUCAUUUAUUAUUGAGUCUGGGUAGUGAAAAUGGGAGGCAUAUUCGUAGGUAUGGUUUUCUACCUUUAGAUGUUCAUGUUGAUUUUACUUUGUGCACUCUAUAUAUUUUGUUUUACUUUCAUUUAUAUAUAAACUAAACAUAGUAGCUUCCCAUUUCAGAUCUAUAGCUUUUUCUUUUAAUACCUUUUUGUUGUGGCUUAUUAUGGCAACUGCCCUUAUAUAAAACUAACUAAACUAACCUAAACCUUAUAGGUAUAACUGUCCUAAUAUUAAAAUACAGUUGUCCCUUGAUAGUCCGACAGGUAUGGGACCAAAAGGUCAGAUUACCGAGCAUGUCAGAGUAUCAAGUGUGUACUGUACUUUUGUGGUACUUUCCACAUUUGUAUGAUUUUUAUGGUACACAACGUAAAAUUUUUAUUUAUGUAUUUGUUUUUAGGAACUAAACACCAGCUAUUUUAUAUAUGUAGAAAAAUGAAAAACUGCUGGAAUUUUAAUUUAAAGGCUUUUGACUAGUGAAGAUUUGGAUAAACAACAGGAGUUACUUUGGGCUAUAGCUACGUGCAAAUUUAUUUUCUUGUGGCUUCCUAUGUUUAUUCUUAUUAACUAUAUCUACACUUUGAUAUGUUUUUAGUCGCAUGAAGAUUUUAUAGUUUAUUAUUUUAUGUAUAUUGUUAUAUUUGUGUUGAAUAAACAUUAUUAUUAUUAUUA